UGGGUGUAAAGGGCGAGUAGACGGCGUUGCAAGUCAGAUGUGAAAACUUGAGGCUCAACCCCAAGACUGCAUCUGAAACUGUGAUGCUAGAGUGCAGGAGAGGAAAGUGGAAUUCCUAGUGUAGCGGUGAAAUGCGUAGAUAUUAGGAGGAACACCAGUGGCGAAGGCGACUUUCUGGACUGUAACUGACGUUGAGGCGCGAAAGUGUGGGGAGCAAACAGGAUUAGAUACCCUGGUAGUCCACACUGUAAACGAUGGAUACUAGGUGUAGGCACUAACGUGUCUGUGCCGGCGCUAACGCAAUAAGUAUCCCACCUGGGGAGUACGGCCGCAAGGUUGAAACUCAAAGAAAUUGACGGGGGCCCGCACAAGCAGUGGAGUAUGUGGUUUAAUUCGACGCAACGCGAAGAACCUUACCAAGACUUGACAUACAAUUGAAUACGUAAGAAAUUACGUAGUCCCUCGGGACAGUUGUACAGGUGAUGCACGGUUGUCGUCAGCUCGUGUCGUGAGAUGUUGGGUUAAGUCCCGCAACGAGCGCAACCCUCGUGACUAGUUGCUGCCUAGCAGAACUCUAGUCAGACUGCCGUAGUUAAUACGGAGGAAGGUGAGGAUGACGUCAAAUCAUCAUGUCCCUUAUGUCUUGGGCUACACACGUACUACAAUGACUACUACAGAGAGAAGCAAGAUCGCGAGAUUGAGCAAAACUGAUAAAAGUAGUCCUAGUUCGGAUUGGAGGCUGCAACUCGCCUCCAUGAAGCUGGAAUUGCUAGUAAUCACAGGUCAGCAUACUGUGGUGAAUACGUUCCCGGGCCUUGCACUCACCGCCCGUC
Molecule: ribosomal RNA, 833 nt
Filed under: uncultured bacterium
Lineage: Bacteria
Description: SSU rRNA
Rfam family: Bacterial small subunit ribosomal RNA
Source: RNAcentral